GCCGAAGUGGCGGAACUGGUAGACGCGCAGGUCUCAAAAACCUGUCAGGGCAACCUGGUGGGAGUUCGAUUCUCCCCUUCGGCACCA
RNAcentral lists this transfer RNA (87 nucleotides) under Legionella sp. RNAcentral describes it as "tRNA-Leu". It matches the Rfam family "tRNA". Rfam says of the family: Transfer RNA (tRNA) molecules are approximately 80 nucleotides in length. Lineage: Bacteria; Pseudomonadati; Pseudomonadota; Gammaproteobacteria; Legionellales; Legionellaceae. The record is from RNAcentral.